Molecule: ribosomal RNA, 395 nt
Filed under: uncultured bacterium
Lineage: Bacteria
Description: bacterial SSU rRNA
Rfam family: Bacterial small subunit ribosomal RNA
Source: RNAcentral
AUUGAACGCUGGCGGCAUGCUUUACACAUGCAAGUCGAACGGCAGCGCGGGCUUCGGCCUGGCGGCGAGUGGCGAACGGGUGAGUAAUAUAUCGGAACGUACCCAAGAGUGGGGGAUAACGUAGCGAAAGUUACGCUAAUACCGCAUACGAUCUAAGGAUGAAAGCAGGGGAUCGCAAGACCUUGUGCUCCUGGAGCGGCCGAUAUCUGAUUAGCUAGUUGGUGAGGUAAAGGCUCACCAAGGCAACGAUCAGUAGCUGGUCUGAGAGGACGACCAGCCACACUGGAACUGAGACACGGUCCAGACUCCUACGGGAGGCAGCAGUGGGAAUUUUGGGCAAUGGGCGAAAGCCUGACCCAGCAACGCCGCGUGGGUGACGAAGGCCUUCGGGUCGU